RNAcentral lists this ribosomal RNA (1450 nucleotides) under uncultured organism. Its description in RNAcentral is "SSU rRNA". It matches the Rfam family "Bacterial small subunit ribosomal RNA". The record is from RNAcentral.
UGGCUCAGGAUGAACGCUAGCUACAGGCUUAACACAUGCAAGUCGAGGGGCAUCAGGAAGAAAGCUUGCUUUCUUUGCUGGCGACCGGCGCACGGGUGAGUAACACGUAUCCAACCUGCCCUUUACUCGGGGAUAGCCUUUCGAAAGAAAGAUUAAUACCCGAUAGCAUAAUGAUUCCGCAUGGUUUCAUUAUUAAAGGAUUCCGGUAGAGGAUGGGGAUGCGUUCCAUUAGGUUGUUGGUGAGGUAACGGCUCACCAAGCCUUCGAUGGAUAGGGGUUCUGAGAGGAAGGUCCCCCACAUUGGAACUGAGACACGGUCCAAACUCCUACGGGAGGCAGCAGUGAGGAAUAUUGGUCAAUGGGCGCUAGCCUGAACCAGCCAAGUAGCGUGAAGGAUGAAGGCUCUAUGGGUCGUAAACUUCUUUUAUAUAAGAAUAAAGUGCAGUAUGUAUACUGUUUUGUAUGUAUUAUAUGAAUAAGGAUCGGCUAACUCCGUGCCAGCAGCCGCGGUAAUACGGAGGAUCCGAGCGUUAUCCGGAUUUAUUGGGUUUAAAGGGAGCGUAGGUGGACUGGUAAGUCAGUUGUGAAAGUUUGCGGCUCAACCGUAAAAUUGCAGUUGAUACUGUCAGUCUUGAGUACAGUAGAGGUGGGCGGAAUUCGUGGUGUAGCGGUGAAAUGCUUAGAUAUCACGAAGAACUCCGAUUGCGAAGGCAGCUCACUGGACUGCAACUGACACUGAUGCUCGAAAGUGUGGGUAUCAAACAGGAUUAGAUACCCUGGUAGUCCACACAGUAAACGAUGAAUACUCGCUGUUUGCGAUAUACAGUAAGCGGCCAAGCGAAAGCAUUAAGUAUUCCACCUGGGGAGUACGCCGGCAACGGUGAAACUCAAAGGAAUUGACGGGGGCCCGCACAAGCGGAGGAACAUGUGGUUUAAUUCGAUGAUACGCGAGGAACCUUACCCGGGCUUAAAUUGCAGUGGAAUGAUGUGGAAACAUGUCAGUGAGCAAUCACCGCUGUGAAGGUGCUGCAUGGUUGUCGUCAGCUCGUGCCGUGAGGUGUCGGCUUAAGUGCCAUAACGAGCGCAACCCUUAUCUUCAGUUACUAACAGGUCAUGCUGAGGACUCUGGAGAGACUGCCGUCGUAAGAUGUGAGGAAGGUGGGGAUGACGUCAAAUCAGCACGGCCCUUACGUCCGGGGCUACACACGUGUUACAAUGGGGGGUACAGAAGGCAGCUAGCGGGUGACCGUAUGCUAAUCCCAAAAGCCUCUCUCAGUUCGGAUCGAAGUCUGCAACCCGACUUCGUGAAGCUGGAUUCGCUAGUAAUCGCGCAUCAGCCACGGCGCGGUGAAUACGUUCCCGGGCCUUGUACACACCGCCCGUCAAGCCAUGGGAGCCGGGGGUACCUGAAGUACGUAACCGCAAGGAUCGUCCUAGGGUAAAACUGGUG